AGAGCUGCGCCCGCCUGGGGCAACUCCGAGUCCAGGAGAACCCCAAGAGCGGCGCUUUGGCCCCGGCCCCCGCGCCCUCUCCGAAGAAAGGAGAGUCAGGGACGGAGGGAGGCCGGGAGGCUGAACCCCGGGCCCGCCGUCGAACCGCCGGCCCUCCGACACCAUCUGGACCCCGGCGGGGACAGCCGCCUGGAAGGGGAGGAAGGCCAGGGACGUGGAAGAGAUGGGGCUCUAAAGGCGCCGGGACGGAGCUGGCUCCCCAGAGGCGCCCACCCUGCCAGCGAAGGCCGCCAUCGGAGGCACUCUAGCAAGCGCCACAGAUGCCUUACUGGAUUUAACCUCCCCACAAGGAAAUGAGGGGGUUAUUGUCCUUAUUUUACAGGCUCACGGAUUCUUCUCAUAUCCCAUCUGAUACAAGCAUCCUAGCUGCUCCUUCCACAGAUGAAGACAUGAGGCUCAGAGUGGUUAAGUGUCUGGUUAAGGGCACACAGCUGGCCAGCAUCAGGGUCAGGAUUGAAACCCUAAUCAGCCUUCCUGUGGAAUGGACACAGAUCUGGGAGUCAGAAGACUUUUGUUGGAGGAGCAGUUCUUCACUCACCAGCCAGGUGCCCUAAUCCAGUCCCUCAAUCACAGAGCACUCUGCUUGCCUGUUCUGUACAACAGAGAUUAGUGUCCCCUCUUCCAUCUCACAGGGUUAUUGGAUGAAAUACUCCAUGUGAAUGAGCUGUUUAAAUUGCAAAACACCAUAAAUACUAGCCAUUAUUAUGAGUUCAUACAGCUUUGUAUAUCUUUGCCCAUUUUACGAGAUUUUUUUUUUUUUCUGAGAUGGAGUCUUGCUCUGUUGCCCAGGCUGGAGUGCAGUGGCACAAUCUUGGCUCACUGCAACCUCCACCUCCUGGGUUCAAAUGAUUCUCCUGCCUCAGCCUCCCAAGUAGCUGGGAUUACAGCUGUGCAACACCACACCCAGCUAAUUUUUUUAUAUUUAGUAGAGAUGGGGUUUCACCAUGUGGGUCAGGCUGGUUUCGAACUCCUGACCUCAGGUGAUCCACCCUCCUCAGCCUCCCAAAAUGCUAGGAUUACAGGCGUGAGCCACCACACCCAGCCUCUUAUGAGAUUUUAAAGUUGAAAAUCCCAUAGAUAGGAACCAUGUCUACUUGAAUGCCCCAAAAGCACCUGGACGUCAGCGUUCCUUGGACAAUGUUAAAUAACUCCAAAUUAUUAAAAAAAAAAAAAAAAGCAAGCACAUUUACUUUUCUAAAGCAGAGGACAUAGAUUUCAUAUAGAGAAUAAAUAUGUUGAGAAAUUAGUCAUUUUCUUAACUCACGUUCCAUAUGAUUCUUUGGAAAACUUGGAUGGCAUUUGGGGUGAUUCACGGGGAAGAAUAAUUAAUGUGUCUUGUGUAAUUUCUUCAAGUAGCUAUUAAAAACACAACAGAAUAACACGUGUUUUUCCAUUCUCUGAAAAUGAAGAAAUACAGAGCUGUUUUUACUCCAACUUUUCCAAAACAAAUCACCUUCUGUGAUGAAAAAUGUUGCCUUAAGGAGAGAAAUUUUCAGGAAAAUUAUGAGCAAGUGAAAGAAAACAGAGCACCAAAUAGAAGUCUUAUUUAAUGAGAACAAGAACCUCAACCAGCAAGGCUAAGUCACUUCCAGCCUGUGUCACUCAGCUGUCUCUCCUCUCAUGAGCACUGGAGCCUGACAGACCUCAGUUCAAAUCCAGCCAUGCUUGAUAUUGGCUGAAUAACUGCAGAGGUCACUUCGCCUAAGCCUCAGUUUCCUCAUCUGUAAAAUGGGAGUGAAAUGCCUUCCUCAUGGGCUUCCGGAAAGAUUACAUGAGAUUAUGUACUUAAAGGGGACUAUGUUAUUAUAAACUUUAAAUAAGUUUGUCGUUUCUUUGGUAGUACUCAACAUGGGUAAUCCCAAUUAACAUAUAUAACACUACCCGGCAAGGAAUACUCUCUUGCUAGCGAUGCCUACUGGAAAAUUCUAGUCCCUAAAACUGAGAUUUUAGGCCCCUCAUUCCGGCAUCUAACAGGACAGGAAUUUGGUUUAAGAAGUAAAAUUAUUUUGUUUUCUCACUUUAUCUAUUGUUUGAAAUGACAUUGUCAAGUGUAAAAGAGGGGAAGGAAACCCACAUAUUAUAUGCAUGUCACAGGUGCAUGUGGUGUGUAAGGUAGGUAAGGUAGAGAGAGGAAGGAGAGAGGAGUAGACUGAGAAAGACAGGAAAAGAGGACUUCAACUUUAUCUUCAAAUUUUUAAAUUUCAGGGGUGUAAAAAUAGUUGAAGCAAGUAAAAUAAAAUGUUAACAGCAAUUCAAGGCAGUGAGUACGUGGAUGUUUGUUCUGAUAUUCUCUGUACCUUUUGGCAUUUUUCCAAUAUCAAAAUCAUUUCCAACUAAACAAAUUAUUAAUGGUCAUAACAGUAAUGCAUUUUUUUAUGGAAAGAACUUCAUCAAUAUCCUGACCACCCUAAUAAUUGGUAUAAACUUGUAUCCUGUUUCUUUUUCUUGUCUUUAUACAUGGGUAAAGUCACUACAGAGUAUAAUGUAUAAUCCAUUUCCAUUUAGGAAUAUGCCAGGGUGGCCGGGUACAGUGGCUCACACCCGCAAUCCCAACCCAUUGGGAGGCCAAGGCGGGUGGAUCUCUUGAGGCCAGGAAUUUGAGACCGGCCUGGGCAAUUAUGACAAAACCUCAUCUCUACAAAAAACACAAUAAUUAGCCAGGCAUGGUGAUGUGUGCUGUAGUCCCAGCUAUUCAGGAGGCUGAGGUGGGAGGAUUGCUUGAGCCCAGGAGGUUGACGCUGCAGUGAGACGUGAUUGCUCCUCUG
RNAcentral lists this long non-coding RNA (2825 nucleotides) under Homo sapiens (human). RNAcentral describes it as "non-protein coding lnc-TCP11L2-4:5". The record is from RNAcentral. Lineage: Eukaryota; Metazoa; Chordata; Mammalia; Primates; Hominidae.